UAGUAAUCGCAGAUCAGCAUGCUGUGGUGAAUACGUUCCCGGGCCUUGUACACACCGCCCGUCACACCAUGGGAGUCGGUAACACCCAAAGUUGGUAGUCUAACCGCAAGGAGGACGCCGCCUAAGGUGGGAUUGAUGACUGGGGUGAAGUCGUAACAAGGUACC
RNAcentral lists this ribosomal RNA (165 nucleotides) under uncultured bacterium. RNAcentral's name for it is "partial 16S ribosomal RNA". It matches the Rfam family "Bacterial small subunit ribosomal RNA", at positions 1336 to 1500 of the family's 1533-position model. The record is from RNAcentral.